This is a long non-coding RNA of Anopheles moucheti, 672 nucleotides long. RefSeq lists it as uncharacterized. The transcript is spliced from 3 exons. NCBI's taxonomy places the organism in Eukaryota, Metazoa, Arthropoda, Insecta, Diptera, Culicidae. The record is from RefSeq and is a predicted model, not a curated record.
AUGAGUUAGCAUUUUGACACUGCGUUUAAUGUGCGUUUCGCAUCAUCACCUAACGCAGCGAACUUUGCAGUGCGUAAUAAGUAGAAAUGUUAAUAAGAGUGUGCUGUGUAGAUUUAGCAUUAAAGCCUUUCCGCUGUGUGCCAAAUUGAAGCAACCCUACGACGCCGUACGCCUCCAGGGGAAACCCCCCAUUAAACCCACGGAACAGUACGGAAUCAUCGGCCCGGUGUCAUUGAAUGCCGCUUAAGCCUUUCCGAAUUGUUGCGAACCGAAGUUCCCCGGGGGGGGGAGAAGGAAAAGGGUGAUGGGGACGGUGACGCCCGGCCGAAGGGAUUGAGCGGACCGAAACAACCCCGAAGCGGAAUUUGCAAAACUCUUCGCUACUGCAGUCUCACCCACCAUCAAACAUCAAGCCGCCCGUCGACGGUAUUCCUCCCCUCUUCCGUGUGUGUGUGAUGCAGUUGCCGUUCGCGUUGGGCAGGUACACAUCGGACGAACUUCCCGUAACGAACAUACGGUAGCAUGUGGAGGACAACACCUCCACCUGGUGCGUGGAUUCGCCAUGGUUACGCAUGCAUCUUACGGCGCACGCACAUAGCGCCGAUGGUGAACGAUGCUGGCCGAUGUUGGCCGAUUAUCAUAUCGGAGGCGAUGCGUUAAUUCACCUUUCAC